GACGAACGCUGGCGGCGUGCUUAACACAUGCAAGUCGAACGGAAAGGCCCUGCUUUUGUGGGGUGCUCGAGUGGCGAACGGGUGAGUAACACGUGAGUAACCUGCCCUUGACUUUGGGAUAACUUCAGGAAACUGGGGCUAAUACCGGAUAGGAGCUCCUGCUGCAUGGUGGGGGUUGGAAAGUUUCGGCGGUUGGGGAUGGACUCGCGGCUUAUCAGCUUGUUGGUGGGGUAGUGGCUUACCAAGGCUUUGAAGGGUAGCCGGCCUGAGAGGGUGACCGGCCACAUUGGGACUGAGAUACGGCCCAGACUCCUACGGGAGGCAGCAGGGGGGAAUAUUGCACAAUGGGCGGAAGCCUGAUGCAGCAACGCCGCGUGCGGGAUGACGGCCUUCGGGUUGUAAACCGCUUUCGCCUGUGACGAAGCGUGAGUGACGGUAAUGGGUAAAGAAGCACCGGCUAACUACGUG
RNAcentral lists this ribosomal RNA (468 nucleotides) under uncultured bacterium. RNAcentral describes it as "partial 16S ribosomal RNA". It matches the Rfam family "Bacterial small subunit ribosomal RNA", at positions 28 to 507 of the family's 1533-position model. The record is from RNAcentral.